RNAcentral lists this long non-coding RNA (1158 nucleotides) under Phascolarctos cinereus (koala). RNAcentral describes it as "lncRNA (ENSPCIG00000034985.1)". The record is from RNAcentral. Lineage: Eukaryota; Metazoa; Chordata; Mammalia; Diprotodontia; Phascolarctidae.
CUCACCCAGCCGAGGAAUGUGCCCACUUACCGGGAGCCGGCGGCGCUGCCCGCCUCCCGCGCCUCCCCGAAUCCCGAUUCUGAUACCCGAGGCCAAUGCGGGCAGAGCCACCGCGCUCCGGACACGGAUGCCCCCGGGGAGGGGGCCACCUCCAACGAAACCUCGCUCCCCGCCCCUUUCCCUCCAGAUCUGGGUGUCCCCCAGCGCCCACGUGGGAGCUGGGGGCAGCCCUCGAUCCCCUCCAGCUCGGGUCCCCUCCGCCCGGGGCCCUCCCGGGGAGGCAUUCGCACCCGUCAACAGGCACAAUUCAGCGGCGGGGGAGGGGCUGCGGGGUGGCGGGGCCAAGCUGAGCUCCGGGGCCUGACGAGGCUCGAAGAGCCGCGGUCGCCGCCCUCCUCCCGAAAGACACGUUUCCUCUGCUCCCACGCGUGGUCAGCCCAAUCACGGACCUUGCCUCCCUGCCUCCCUCCCUUCCCCCGGGGAGUCCCGUGCGCGCCCCAGCCCACUUCCACAACCGCCACGCCCGGGAGCCGACGGCGGGCACGCGGGGCGGGCGGGGGAGGGGGCAGAGAGCCCAGCUCCGGACAGGAAAGUCCAGGGAGCCUCGCCCACCCUCCUUCCUCUCCCUUCCCCCUCCCUUCCCUUUCUCCCGGCCUACGGCAAGCGGCGAAGACCCUGUCCGGGGUGCGCAAAGGCGAAAAGGGACAGCAGCGGAGGGAGGAAAAUCAGGGAGGGGAGGAAUUGCGCGGUGAGGUCAGCGCCGCGGAGGGGACGGGAGGGGCAGGGCGAGGCGGGGCGGGGAGGAGGGGGGCGGCGGCCAGCCCCUGGAUUGGUUGGCUAGCAGGCUGGCUGGGAGCUUGCGCCCCGAUCCGGCCUGGCUCACGCACCCGGCUCGGGGUGGAGGGGAGGCGGGGAAGGAGGCGGGUAGCUCUGGGUGCUGAGGCGACUGGCGGGCGGGCGGGCAGACGGACGGGGACGAACCGACCGAAUCUCCGGAACCCGCCGCCACCGGAGGCCGGGCGGGGUGCGCGUGCGUGGGAGAGACGGCGGCUGCGCGCGCUGAGGGCGCGGGGUUGGUUGUGUGAGUGCUUGUGUGUGAGGAGCGGCGGCGGCGGCGGCGGCGUCGCGGCUAAGGUGGGGAAGGGGCGGCCUGUGUGA